This 531-nucleotide ribosomal RNA is filed under the name uncultured Rhizaria. RNAcentral describes it as "SSU rRNA". It matches the Rfam family "Eukaryotic small subunit ribosomal RNA", at positions 21 to 550 of the family's 1831-position model. The record is from RNAcentral.
UAGUCAUAUGCUUGUCUCAAAGAUUAAGCCAUGCAUGUCUAAGUAUAAACAUCUUUAUACAGUGAAACUGCGUACAGCUCAUUAUAUCAGUUAUUAUUUAUUUGAUGGUACCUUACUACAUGGAUACCCGUAGUAAUUCUAGAGCUAAUACAUGCGUAAAGUCCCGACUUUUUGGAAGGGAUGUAUUUAUUAGAUUAAAAACCAAUGCAGGCAACUGCUCCUUUGGUGAUUCAUAGUAACUUUAACGGAUCGCACGGCUUCACGUCGGCGACAGUUCAUUCAAAUUUCUGCCCUAUCAGCUUUCGACGGUACUGUAGUGGACUACCGUGGCAUUAACGGGUGACGGAGAAUUAGGGUUCGAUUCCGGAGAGGGAGCCUGAGAAACGGCUACCACAUCCAAGGAAGGCAGCAGGCGCGCAAAUUACCCAAUCCCGAUACGGGGAGGUAGUGACAAUAAAUAACAAUACAGGGCUUUAUAGUNUUGUAAUUGGAAUGAGUACAAUUUUAAAUCUCUUUAACGAGGAACAAUUG